Long non-coding RNA from Esox lucius (northern pike), 1011 nucleotides. RefSeq lists it as uncharacterized. The record is from RefSeq and is a predicted model, not a curated record. The transcript has 4 exons. NCBI's taxonomy places the organism in Eukaryota, Metazoa, Chordata, Actinopteri, Esociformes, Esocidae.
ACUUGAAGACAGUGGAGUCAACAGAGGAAUGAUGAUGUGAGAACUUUGAAAGGUUUAACACCAGGCAGGCUGUGGCAUUCUGGAUAAAUUGCAGGUGUUUGGUGGCCCACACCAGGAGCCCUACCAACAUUGAAUUGCAGUAAUCCAGACAUGAGGUGACAAGUGCCUGGAUUAGUACCUGUGACGUUUCCUGUGUGAGACUCCAUGUUCAAAUCAUCUCUGAGACAACAUGCCGAAGUCUGCCCUGCCAUCCUGCCAUGUGGAUUUGCACGUGGUUAAGUCUACAUGCAAGCAACAUGCACAGUUUGCUUGGCAAAUAGAACAGGUGGCCUGGACUUGGAUUAUAGUUACAUCCCACGGACAGUGGCUUCCACUUCUGCAGCCUGUCAAACCUGAGACUGGUGCGUUGUGUUGGAGGUGCCCCGAUCCACACUGGCACAAUGACUACUCCUGGGCCAGGGACAACCUGAGACCUAAGGAGACCAUAACUCACAAUGCCCUGGUCUGAUCACUCCUGACUGUCUCUCUUCCCAAUCCACCUGGUUGUGCUGCUGAUUCAGUUUCUGCUGUUCUGCAUGGGCUUUAGAACCUUGCAUGGGCAUGUAACCUCAAAGCACCUCUAAUUAGUAAUGAUGGUCUAGAUCCCCAACUUAUUAAAAUGUUAUUCAUUAUGAUCUAAAAGGCAAAACUGAUAUUAAUUCAGCAGUACUACUCUGAGAGACUUGGUGGGUUCUGGUCCUGUUCACCAGACUCCAUCUCUUCUUCUGACUGGACUCAACUUCUGAUCAGCUAUGUAAACCAAAGAACCUUUACUUGAGCUGUUGGCUUGUUGAACUGUCUGAAACCAUUGAUAAUGUGUGACCAUGCUUGUGAUCAAAUUUGAACAUCUUGAAGACCGAUCAAGACAUAAAUGGCCAUGUACUCUUAUAAUCUCCAUUUUGCACAACCAAAAAGGUACUUAGAACUGGCCACCACCCCUCAGAGCGUCGCUACGUUUCAUACUAAAUUCCU